UUCUUGUCUGCAAAUGUCUAAUUGGUAUUGUGAUGAUGCAGGAAAGGAUGAUUUACUGUGUUUCUACAAUAAAUUAGAUACUGGGGACAUUGUGCUGAAUAAUUUUAAGCCUAAUAUCCAUGGAAGAAGCUGUGCAAUGGUUUGUACCAGCAGACCACAAGGAGUCUUUCCACAAGAGCGCCACGUUAUUGUAUAUUUGGCCUUCAAAUAUUUUUACUGAAGUGGAGGCCAUUUGGAAAGGCUCUCAGAUAGGAGAGCCUAGCCUGUUUGACCUAGUCUCAUUUCCCUACUCAGGUCAUCAGAGCCUGUGUGGCACUGCCCACAAGUCCUUGGUGGGUUCUGGAGCUGUCCAAGGUUCCAAAGUUCCAGGGAGGGAGCCUGCAGCAGUCAGAGGGCUCUGGGCUCUGCUUCAACUCAGUACUGUGAGAGAAGGGAUGUGGUCCUGAGAAUACUGUAAUGUGGAAACCCUGAGUUCAUGAUUUCCACUCAUCUGCCUUCUGGGGACGCUGAUAAAUGGAGCUGGGUAAGGAAGCUAGGGAGUUCCUGUAAAUAUGAUAGCAAACCCCUGUCCACUUCCAUACCCGAUACAGAGAGCUCUUAUAGGUAAACUAAAGAGGACUAAGGGAAAGCAAAGUAACACUAAACUAGACUUAGAUUAUCUAUUCAGUGACAACAUUCUGUGGUAGAAUGUGGUCUAUGUAGGAAGAACUCAAAGAACAUGGAGCCAACAGGCCUUCUCUUCCUUGAAAUAUAGACAAAUGUGUAUCUCCUAGCCACUGUGAGGGGGAGAAUAGAUGGAAGGUGAAGACUAAAUGGGAAAGGGUAUGGGAAAGCUAAAGGAAGGACAUGGAAUCACUGCAGAUUUAUAAAGAUGUAGCUUUUUUGAAAAAAUAAAUAAAGACGUAGCUUUUAUUCCCUGCUUUAUUCAAAACAAAAAUUAUAUAACAAACUUUAAUUCUGCUGGAGGCUGAAGUAAAUCAAUUUGCAACAUCAAACUUUCUCCCCCUUGGCCUGCCUGGUUUUCAGUCCUCACAGAUUAGGAGUUAUUCUGGGUGUUCCGUCACUCAGCCCUGUAUCUGAGGCUCGAGAAUCAUUUCACACUUCGACAGCUCUUUAAAUGAAGCAUCAAGUUACCUCAUAAUUGACUUGUCUCCACUGUGUGCUUCAACACACAAAAUUCCAGCCAAAUUAAAGUACAACAGAUGGGAAAAGUCACUUGGGAAGAAACACUAAUGAAAUAGUUUUACUUUCUCUUUGAAAGCUGGGAUAAUAUACUGAUUUCAAAUAACUCAGUUUGCAUUUCAAAUCCCUGGGGUUUGGAACACAGGUAUGUGGAUUAAAAAUCCAAGCAGCAGGUAAUGCUUCUUCUGAGCAUUUAAGGAGAUGUCCCCAUUUAGAAAGUUCUUUAUCAUGGCCAUCGUGCAACAUCACCUCUGUCCUAGGUACUGAGCUCUUGCUUGGGCAUUGCACCAUUCACUGCUUGUGAGAGCAGCUGACGCCACCAGUAUCAACCUAGUACUCAUCAACCCUGUUCCUACACAGGAACAGAGCAAGAAAAACAUGACUAUUCUAAGCAGAUCCCAAGCCCCAAAUUCUCAAGCACAUAGCUUUUUGCUGUAGUAUAAUGUCACAUCGAGAAUCUUAACAUUGGUACAAUCAACCAGUCUUACUCAGAUUUCCAUAGUUUUAUUUGUAUUCCUUUGCAUGCAUGUGGUUUGGUUUUGUACAGUUUUACCAUCUGUGUAGGUGUGUGUACCUACAACCAGUGUCAAGGUGCCAGGCCCUUCCAAUAUGACAAGGGUACUUUGUG
This 1810-nucleotide long non-coding RNA is filed under the name Canis lupus familiaris (dog). RNAcentral describes it as "lncRNA (ENSCAFG00845013934.1)". The record is from RNAcentral. Lineage: Eukaryota; Metazoa; Chordata; Mammalia; Carnivora; Canidae.